Molecule: ribosomal RNA, 432 nt
Filed under: uncultured bacterium
Lineage: Bacteria
Description: partial 16S ribosomal RNA
Rfam family: Bacterial small subunit ribosomal RNA
Source: RNAcentral
AACGAACGCUGGCGGCAUGUCUAACACAUGCAAGUCGAACGAGACCUUCGGGUCUAGUGGCGCACGGGUGCGUAACGCGUGGGAACCUGCCCUUAGGUUCGGAAUAACUCCCCGAAAGGGGUGCUAAUACCGGAUAAUGUCUUCGGACCAAAGAUUUAUCGCCUUUGGAUGGGCCCGCGUUGGAUUAGCUAGUUGGUAGGGUAAAAGCCUACCAAGGCGACGAUCCAUAGCUGGUCUGAGAGGAUGAUCAGCCACACUGGGACUGAGACACGGCCCAGACUCCUACGGGAGGUAGCAGUGGGGAAUAUUGGACAAUGGGCGAAAGCCUGAUCCAGCAAUGCCGCGUGAGUGAUGAAGGCCUUAGGGUUGUAAAGCUCUUUUACCCGGGAUGAUAAUGACAGUACCGGGAGAAUAAGCUCCGGCUAACUCCGU